CAGAGCUCAGCUGGACCCUCAGCCACUCGGUUCCCGCCCUCAGUUAGGGUGGGGUCUGGGGGCAUUUUUUUUUUUUUUUCAAAGCCCAGUGGGAAAGCUGGGAAUUCAGAAUCCGCGAAAGACGUUCUCCGUCCUCUCCCAGCCGCUGUGUGACCUGGGGUGAAACUGAUCCUGCAUCCCAGAGGGAAUUUUGGAAGAGGUUUCGGUGGAGGUGAAAACCAAGUGCCUGAAUGGUUUUAUUGCUGAAAGUCCUGAGUCUGGGAAACCUCUCAGUCUUGGGGUUUCCCUCAGAAUGAAAAACAAGGGGAAGCUGACUGGCAGAUGGAGAAACUGAGGCCUGGAGAAUAAAAUAAGCUGCCCAAGGUCGCACAGCUGGCCCAGCAUCAGCACUGGGGGGGGGGGGGUUCCUGGAAAAGUGGCUGGAGACUUCAUCCCCUUGUCCAUGUCACCAGGCAGAUCUUGCUUCUCUGGGAACCACUGUGAAUGACCCAAGUACAAAAGUGUAAAUCAAAGCCUCCUGAUGCUUUGAGACCUUCACCCUUUCACUGAACUGGCAACAUCAGCAGCUCUGUCUGCACCCACUGCACCAGUAUGACUGUUAGGAUUCCAACUGUCACCAGAGCUCCAGCAGACAGGAUUCUCUGACCUCACCCAUGAUGCCAGAACAUUCCAUGGUCCAGCUCAAACUCAUAUCCAGCAACUGUAAGACCCUCCAAGACAGUUUCUUUUUUGCAAUAAAAACCCCCA
Long non-coding RNA from Balaenoptera musculus (blue whale), 747 nucleotides. RefSeq lists it as uncharacterized. Lineage: Eukaryota; Metazoa; Chordata; Mammalia; Artiodactyla; Balaenopteridae. The transcript has 4 exons. The record is from RefSeq and is a predicted model, not a curated record.